CGUGUAGGCGGGGAUGCAAGUCAGAUGUGAAAUGCCGGGGCUUAACUCCGGAGCUGCAUCUGAAACUGUGUUUCUUGAGUGUCGGAGAGGAAAGCGGAAUUCCCAGUGUAGCGGUGAAAUGCGUAGAUAUUGGGAGGAACACCAGUGGCGAAGGCGGCUUUCUGGACGAUAACUGACGCUGAGGCGCGAAAGCGUGGGAGCAAACA
This 206-nucleotide ribosomal RNA is filed under the name uncultured bacterium. RNAcentral's name for it is "partial 16S ribosomal RNA". It matches the Rfam family "Bacterial small subunit ribosomal RNA", at positions 568 to 774 of the family's 1533-position model. The record is from RNAcentral.